Molecule: transfer RNA, 66 nt
Filed under: Paragyrodactylus variegatus
Lineage: Eukaryota; Metazoa; Platyhelminthes; Monogenea; Gyrodactylidea; Gyrodactylidae
Description: tRNA-Leu
Source: RNAcentral
UUAAAGAUAUUAGAAGUUUAAUAAGUUUGUUUUAGGAACAAAAAUUGGGGGUUUCCCCUCUUUAAU